UGUAAUGUAGGUGUUCAGAUA
This 21-nucleotide non-coding RNA is filed under the name Caenorhabditis elegans. The record is from RNAcentral. Lineage: Eukaryota; Metazoa; Nematoda; Chromadorea; Rhabditida; Rhabditidae.